CUACCAGAUUCCUGAAGACAUCACAGGAGAGACAGCAAGAUUUUAAAGUAAAUUUUCCAUUUGGGUAAAAUGGCAAAAGCUAGAGGAGGUAAGCUCACAAUACAUACUGUAAAGUUAAAACAUGUAUCAUACAGCGUUAUACAACAAAAGUAAAAUACAACUGAAAAAUUGCGCUUAAUAAUUUCAGUUAAUAUUCUGAAAUAUUGUUCUUUAUUAUUGUUUAUAAUUCUGAAAAUAUUUCCACAAUAUUUAUAAUUUAUUGUGUAGUUUUAGAUUCUCUCUGAAUUUGAAGCAUCAUAUCUUUCUGAUCACAUCAUCACUGUCAUUAUAUAUCACCUAGAAGUAUGAGAAGAUGCUUAAAGUUACAGCUUUACAUCUGAAAGCUCCGACACUGGAGACUCCUUCCACACAUGUUAAAUAAACAUGUUUAUCGUAUCAAAAUUUUGCUCACGGUUUUUAAUCCGUUGAUGUGAAGUGUCCUCUGUACAAGUUCAUGUUAACGCACUGUAGCUAUUUGUAAUGAUAUCAUAUUAGAACAAGUCCUUUACUAUAAUCCUGAGCUACUGUCAGAGCUGCUGUUAUAGAUAAUUAAAGAAUUAAAUGAUCGCAUUCCUAAAGAUGAAGCCAAAGCUGAGGCUGGUGUAGGAUGAGUUGGAGCAGCGCGGAGCAUAUUUGCUGUCGAAUCUAACGGUCCAAAGGCUUCUGCCGAGGCUACGGCUGAUGGCCUGGAAGCAGGAGCCAUGGCUAGAGCAGAGCUUGGAAGUGUAUCAGCUGCAGCUGGUCCAGUAGAAGCAAAGCUGGGUUUGGGGAUUGACACUGGUGUGAGUGUUAGCCCAACUAAAAUAGAAGCAAAGUUUCUAGGGACUGGAGUGACUUUGGGCAGCACAAUGGGAAUUUCACUUUUUGGAAGUGAGUUUAAAAUUAAACUUUUUUGAAGUUAAACUGGAUUAAUUUACUCUAAGAUUUUGCAUAUGAUUAAUAAGCUAAAGUAUGAAUUCUAGCACUUACUGUAAUCCUAACAGUUCAUAAUGUAAGCAUGUGAGAUUAUUGAUGACUGAAAAUGGUUUCUGUGAUCUUUCCAAUAUUCAUUACCAUGUUAUAUUUUUUUCAAUACCAUGAUCAUUAUAACCUUUAGUAAGUGAUCCUUUUGUUUCUUGUAAGUGAUCGAACCUGUAACAUCUGUUCUCAAUUGAUUCAAGCAUGUGUAUGAUAAUCCUGUGUGUCUAAUAGAGCAUCAUAUUCAAACAGGUUCAUGUUAUGGAUUAAACAACUAACCUUAAAAUUGUUAACACGAACUACAGCCAAGACACAAAUGAGCUAUAAACUGGUUGUACUUCUCAGUCUUCAUUCAUCAUAUCUCUGAAUCACAACAUUUGUAAAUCCUCCAACCACAAGCUAUGGUUAAAGUUACAGAAAUCACUCUC
Tachysurus fulvidraco (yellow catfish) is the source of this 1424-nucleotide long non-coding RNA. RefSeq lists it as uncharacterized. Lineage: Eukaryota; Metazoa; Chordata; Actinopteri; Siluriformes; Bagridae. The transcript has 3 exons. The record is from RefSeq and is a predicted model, not a curated record.